Transfer RNA from Puccinia graminis f. sp. tritici, 107 nucleotides. It matches the Rfam family "tRNA". From Rfam's summary of the family: Transfer RNA (tRNA) molecules are approximately 80 nucleotides in length. Their secondary structure includes four short double-helical elements and three loops (D, anti-codon, and T loops). Further hydrogen bonds mediate the characteristic L-shaped molecular structure. tRNAs have two regions of fundamental functional importance: the anti-codon, which is responsible for specific mRNA codon recognition, and the 3' end, to which the tRNAs corresponding amino acid is attached (by aminoacyl-tRNA synthetases). tRNAs cope with the degeneracy of the genetic code in two manners: having more than one tRNA (with a specific anti-codon) for a particular amino acid; and 'wobble' base-pairing, i.e. permitting non-standard base-pairing at the 3rd anti-codon position. The record is from Rfam. Lineage: Eukaryota; Fungi; Basidiomycota; Pucciniomycetes; Pucciniales; Pucciniaceae.
GACAACGUGGCCGAGCGGUUAAGGCGAUUGACUAGAAUGUGAUUCUAAGACUUCUGUCUACCAUCAAUUGGGAUUUUCCCGCGUAGGUUCAAAUCCUGCCGUUGUCG